Molecule: ribosomal RNA, 465 nt
Filed under: uncultured bacterium
Lineage: Bacteria
Description: partial 16S ribosomal RNA
Rfam family: Bacterial small subunit ribosomal RNA
Source: RNAcentral
CCUACGGGAGGCAGCAGUAGGGAAUCUUCCACAAUGGGCGAAAGCCUGAUGGAGCAACGCCGCGUGGGUGAAGAAGGUCUUCGGAUCGUAAAACCCUGUUGUUAGAGAGGAAAGUGCGUGAGAGUAACUGAUCACGAUUCGACGGUAACUAACCAGAAAGCCACGGCUAACUACGUGCCAGCAGCCGCGGUAAUACGGAGGUGGCAAGCGUUAUCCGGAUUUAUUGGGCGUAAAGGGAACGAAGGCGGUCUUUUAAAUCUGAUGUGAAAGCCUUCGGCUUAACCGGCGUAGUGCAUUGGAAACUGGUAGGCUCGAGUGCAGAAGAGGAGAGUGGAACUCCAUGUGUAGCGGUGAAAUGCGUAGAUAUAUGGAAGAACACCAGUGGCGAAAGCGGCUCUCUGGUCUGUUACUGACGCUGAGGUUCGAAAGCGUGGGUAGCAAACAGGAUUAGAUACCCGGGUAGUC